RNAcentral lists this unclassified non-coding RNA (470 nucleotides) under Hevea brasiliensis (rubber tree). The record is from RNAcentral. Lineage: Eukaryota; Viridiplantae; Streptophyta; Magnoliopsida; Malpighiales; Euphorbiaceae.
UUAUGGUCUGAUGCUCAGCAAUUGUCCAAUGCCUAUAUGUAUUUACAAGUAAGAUUUGUCAAGUAUUUUGCAUCUUACGCUGCUCCUAGUAUUUGUCUGAUUCAGAUAUAUCCCAAGGAAAUGGCUUAUAAGAACUAGAAGAUGAUAUCUUUUGUCGCAACGUAUUUUACGGUCGCUAGGCCAUUCACACCGAAGUGGAAAAAGUGUCGAGUCGCCACUCUAAUUUUUGUGGGGAAAAAUAGAGAAAACCUUUUAUUUUGAAAUUUUUUUGACUUAAAAAAAUAAUUAUAAUACACUUCUAUUUCAGAGAUUCAAGGUUCGAGGCCCUUAUGCGUGUAGGGAUUAGGCAUCCCAUAUCAUCCUAAAAGGGUAGAUAGAUUUAAGUAUGUGCUCAAAUAAAUUAAUGCCAAUUAUUUGAAAUAAAGCUUAAUUUAUAAUAUAUGUUCCUUGUUUUGAUUGGAAAGGAAAAA